RNAcentral lists this long non-coding RNA (1620 nucleotides) under Taeniopygia guttata (zebra finch). Its description in RNAcentral is "lncRNA (ENSTGUG00000024719.1)". The record is from RNAcentral. Lineage: Eukaryota; Metazoa; Chordata; Aves; Passeriformes; Estrildidae.
UUAAUAAAGAAGCCCCAAGAAAGGCUCCAGCCGGCCCCACCUGGGCGCGUUCGAAGCCAAAUUUUGGCAAAGCCGCGGGCGGCGCUCCCCGCUCGCCGCCGCCAGGUGGCGCUGCCGCCAAGGGAACCCGCGACCCCGGGAGGCUCCGGACACACCGGGAUCAUCCAACAACACUGGGAUCUUCUGGAUCCCACCGGGAUUGUCCGGACACACCGGGAGCCUCCGGACACACCGGGAUCGUCCAACAACACCGGGAGGCUCCGGAGCCACCGGGAUCGUCCAACAACACCGGGAUCGUUCGAAUCCACCGGGAUCGGGAUCGUCCGGAUCCACCGGGAUUGUCCGGACACACCGGGAUCGUCCGGAUCCACCGGGAUUGUCCGGAUCCAUUGGGAUCGGGAUCGUCCGGAUCCACCGGGAUUGUCCAGACACACCGGGAUCAGGAUCGUCCGGAUCCACCAGGAUCUUCUGAACCCACCGGGAUUGUCCAGAUACACCGGGAUCAUCCAACAACACCAGGAUCUUCUGGAUCCACCGGGAUCGUCCGGAUCCACCGGGAUUGUCCAGAUACACUGGGAGCCUCCGGAUCCACUGGGAUCAUCCGGAUCCACCGGGAUCAUCCAACAACACCGGGAUCAUCCAACAACACUGGGAUCAUCCAACAACACCAGGAUCAUCCAACAACACUGGGACCUUCUGGAUCCCACCGGGAUUGUCUGGAUCCACCGGGAGCCUCCGGACACACCGGGAUCGUCUGGAUCCACUGGGAUUGUCCGGACACACCGGGAUCGUCCGGAUCCACCGGGAUCAUCCAACAACACUGGGAUCUUCUGGAUCCCACCAGGAUUGUCCAGAUCCACCAGGAUCAUCCGGGUCCACCGGGAUCAUCCAGAAACACCGGGAUCUUCCAACAACUCCGGGAGUCUCCGAAUCCACUGGGAUCGCCCGGACACACCAGAAUCAUCCAACAACAUCAGGAUCAUCCAGACACACCGGAAUCAUCCAACAACACCGGGAUCUUCUGGAUCCCACCAGGAUUGUCCGGAUCCCACCAGGAUCUUCCAACACCCCCAGGAGCCUCCAGAUCCACCAGGAUCAUCUGGAUCCACCGGGAUCACCCAACACCACCAGGAUCGUCCAACAACACCGGGACCUUCCAACACCCCUGGGAGCCUCUGGAUCCCACUGGCAUCAUCCGGAUCCAUCGGGAUCGUCCAAAUCCACCAGGAUAACGCAACAACACCGGGAUCAUCCAGGUCAUACCGGGAUCAUCCAAUACCCUCAGGAUCUCCCGGAUCCCACCGGGAUUGUCCGAACCCACUGGGAUCAUCCAAAUCCCACCGGGAUCAUCCAAACACAUCGGGAUCAUCUGAACCCACCGGGAUCAUCCAACAUCCCCAGGACCUUCCAACAUCCCCGGGAUCAUCCAAAUCCCAUCCCACCAGGAUCAUCCAGCACCCCCAGCAUCAUUCAACAGCUCCAGGAUCAUCCAAAUCCCACCGGGAUCUUCCAAAUCCCCAAGGACCCCUCAAACCCACCUGGGAUUGUCCAAAAGCCCCCAGAAUCCCUCAGUCCCCCAGAAUCAUCCAAUUCUCUCCAAUCCUCAGAAUCAUCCAAUGA